GGUCUUGCAAAGCUGAUGGCUCAUGCAAGCACAGAACAAGUCCGGCAUCGAAUCUACUAUCUCUAGGAGACAAAUGGUGUCAGUGGAGGGCUGUCACACAUGGGAUGAAGUCGGCAGGAGGCUAACCAGGCAAUGCUGCACACGGGGACACAGGACCUAUCACGGUGUCCCAGAUCGAGUGAACAGCGGUCUAACUCAGGGCUAACUCCAGUCUCUUCAGGGGGAAAAGCCAAGUUCCCAAGAACAAAACCUCACAUCCUUUGAAGCCAGGGCCCCAGCCCCUCUCAUCCUCUCCUUGCUCUGGUCCCUCCCUCUGACAAUAAUGCCAGCCCUUAGAAGUAGCCCCAAGGCCCCUUCCAAAGAAGAUGAAGGGACACAGACAAGUCCUCCUGGAGUGUAGUAACACUAACCAUUUGGCAAGGACAUGCCCCAUGCCUCACCUGCCACCAGGAUCCUGCCAGAACUGUGGACAAGCAGGACACAGGAGAAUUAGCUGCCCCUCUUUGCCUUGCCAAGGGAACUUUUUUGCAAUGACUGCUCUAGUAAGUCAACCAUCUGUGUCUCAUGGCAAAAAACUGGAAUGAAAAGGAAAAAAAGAACCAAAGUUUAUGCAAGUUGUGAGAGUCUAAGAAAUAAUUUAAGAUUUCCAGUCAACUGAAGACUACAAACUGCUCCAAACAUGCCAGCCUUGGUGAUCCUGUGGAACUAGUGAGCCCUAGACUUGCUGAAUGCUGAUGUAAACCAAAUACUUCUGAUGGAAUUUCCUACUGCCUUGGACCAGCAUUCCAGAUCACUCCAAAGUAUCCUGCAUUUUGCUAGCCCCAGAUGGUACUGUAGGGGGUAGCCAUUCCAGCUUUGGUCUGGAAGUUCCAACCCCCACUGAGGUUUUGGUAACUAUCACGCCCACAAGGCGGGGCCAAGGGAGGGCCUAAAGACCGAGAUCUGACAUGCCAUGCUCUCUUGUUGCUGGGAGCCCGGACGCUAGAGGUGGAUGGAGGAGAGUUCUCCAGAGAACAUCACCAACUACUGCUGCAUCUUUCCCAGAACCCUCAACCUACCUAUUCCUUCAUUUGUAAGUUACACCAUUAAAUAAAUCUCC
Molecule: non-coding RNA, 1099 nt
Organism: Peromyscus maniculatus bairdii (prairie deer mouse)
Lineage: Eukaryota; Metazoa; Chordata; Mammalia; Rodentia; Cricetidae
Source: RefSeq, a predicted model, not a curated record